RNAcentral lists this ribosomal RNA (886 nucleotides) under Monochaetia castaneae. RNAcentral's name for it is "Monochaetia sp. NJ-2020 partial large subunit ribosomal RNA". It matches the Rfam family "Eukaryotic large subunit ribosomal RNA", at positions 45 to 959 of the family's 3401-position model. Lineage: Eukaryota; Fungi; Ascomycota; Sordariomycetes; Amphisphaeriales; Sporocadaceae. The record is from RNAcentral.
ACAUAGCGAGGAAAGAAACCAACAGGGAUUGCCCUAGUAACGGCGAGUGAAGCGGCAACAGCUCAAAUUUGAAAUCUGGCCCUUGGGUCCGAAUUGUAAUUUGUAGAGGAUGAUUUUGGUGCGGUACCUUCCGAGUUCCUUGGAACAGGACGCCUUAGAGGGUGAGAGCCCCGUACGGUUGGAUGCCUAGCCUCUGUAAAUCUCCUUCGACGAGUCGAGUAGUUUGGGAAUGCUGCUCUAAAUGGGAGGUAAAUUUCUUCUAAAGCUAAAUACUGGCCAGAGACCGAUAGCGCACAAGUAGAGUGAUCGAAAGAUGAAAAGCACUUUGAAAAGAGGGUUAAAUAGCACGUGAAAUUGUUGAAAGGGAAGGAUUUAUGACCAGACUUUUUCUGGGCAGAUCAUCCGGUGUUCUCACCGGUGCACUUUGCCCAGUUUAGGCCAGCAUCGAUUUCCGGAGGGGGAUAAAAGCUUUAGGAAUGUGGCUCCCUCGGGAGUGUUAUAGCCUAUCGUAUAAUACCUUUCUGGGGAUCGAGGUACGCGCUUCUGCAAGGAUGCUGGCGUAAUGGUUAUCAAUCACCCGUCUUGAAACACGGACCAAGGAGUCGAACAUUUGUGCGAGUGUUUGGGUGUUAAACCCUCACGCGUAAUGAAAGUGAACGGAGGUAAGAGCCCUUACGGGUGCAUUAUCGACCGAUCCUGAAGUUUUCGGAUGGAUUUGAGUAGGAGCAUAAAUGUUCGGACCCGAAAGAUGGUGAACUAUGCGUGGAUAGGGUGAAGCCAGAGGAAACUACUGGUGGAGGCUCGCAGCGGUUACUGACGUGCAAAUCGAUCGUCAAAUCUGCGCAUGGGGGCGAAAGACUAAUCGAACCAUCUAGAGCUGGUACGC